Molecule: ribosomal RNA, 468 nt
Filed under: uncultured bacterium
Lineage: Bacteria
Description: partial 16S ribosomal RNA
Rfam family: Bacterial small subunit ribosomal RNA
Source: RNAcentral
GACGAACGCUGGCGGCGUGCUUAACACAUGCAAGUCGAACGGAAGGGCCCUGCUUUUGUGGGGUGCUCGAGUGGCGAACGGGUGAGUAACACGUGAGUAACCUGCCCUUGACUUUGGGAUAACUUCAGGAAACUGGGGCUAAUACCGGAUAGGAGCUCCUGCUGCAUGGUGGGGGUUGGAAAGUUUCGGCGGUUGGGGAUGGACUCGCGGCUUAUCAGCUUGUUGGUGGGGUAGUGGCUUACCAAGGCUUUGACGGGUAGCCGGCCUGAGAGGGUGACCGGCCACAAUGGGACUGAGAUACGGCCCAGACUCCUACGGGAGGCAGCAGUGGGGAAUAUUGCACAAUGGGCGGAAGCCUGAUGCAGCAACGCCGCGUGCGGGAUGACGGCCUUCGGGUUGUAAACCGCUUUCGCCUGUGACGAAGCGUGAGUGACGGUAAUGGGUAAAGAAGCACCGGCUAACUACGUG